Molecule: ribosomal RNA, 482 nt
Filed under: uncultured bacterium
Lineage: Bacteria
Description: partial 16S ribosomal RNA
Rfam family: Bacterial small subunit ribosomal RNA
Source: RNAcentral
AUUGAACGCUGGCGGCAUGCUUUACACAUGCAAGUCGAACGGUAACAGGCCGCAAGGUGCUGACGCGUGGCGGACGGGUGAGUAAUUCAUCCGAACGUACCCAGUCGUGGGCGAUAACUACUCGUCAGAAUAGCUAAUACCGCAUCCGAUCUAUGGAUGUACGCCGGGGACCGUGAUGCCUCGCGCGAUUGGAGGGGCCGAUGUGCGAUGAGGUUGUUGGUGGGGUAAAGGCUCACCAAGACAACGAUCUGUACCUGGUCUGAGAGGAGGACCAGCGACACUGGAGCUGAGACACGGCCCAGACGCCUACGGGAGGCAGCAGUGGGGAAUGUUGGACAAUGGGCGCAAGCCUGAUCCAGCAAUGCCGCGUGCAGGAAGAAGGCGUUCGGGUUGUAAACUGCUUUUGUACGGAACGAAACGGCUCUGGUUAAUACCCGGGGCUAAUGACGGUACCGGAAGAAUAAGCACCGGCUAACUACGUG